Anastrepha ludens (Mexican fruit fly) is the source of this 413-nucleotide long non-coding RNA. RefSeq lists it as uncharacterized. Lineage: Eukaryota; Metazoa; Arthropoda; Insecta; Diptera; Tephritidae. The transcript is spliced from 3 exons. The record is from RefSeq and is a predicted model, not a curated record.
GUUUGUUUUCAGGCCGAUUUGCUUGAGAAAUGUAAAUAAAGUAAUUAAAGCUUCGCGUUUAAAUUGCUUAGUGUGAAUUAAUUUGCCACGAGCAUGCAUAAGGUGAAAUUGAAUGUAGAGAGCGAAGUUUCGACACGAAAAGUUUAAAAUAGAGAAUUAAAGUCUCACCGCGUACAGAAAGUAAUAAUAUUGAUGGCUAUCAGAAAUCCACCUUGGCUACUAAUGACUAUGAUGACUUCAUACUAAAUACUGUUGAGAUGCGCAUACCAUAUUACAUAAAAAUAUCUGCUUCAUGUUUUUUGUGGAAAAUCGAUCGCUAUGAUUUACAUCUAAAACUGUACACUUAAAAAUUCUGGAUAACAAAUUUGUAAUAUACUUGUGAAUUCAUUUUAUAUAAUUCAACUUAAGUGAUG